This 760-nucleotide ribosomal RNA is filed under the name bacterium 24_xplvp459. RNAcentral's name for it is "bacterial SSU rRNA". It matches the Rfam family "Bacterial small subunit ribosomal RNA", at positions 50 to 824 of the family's 1533-position model. The record is from RNAcentral. RNAcentral also lists the same sequence under 1 other name.
UACACAUGCAGUCGACGGUGAACCCCAGCUUGCUGGGGGGAUCAGUGGCGAACGGGUGAGUAACACGUGAGUAACCUGCCCCUGACUCUGGGAUAAGCCUUGGAAACGAGGUCUAAUACCGGAUACGUGACGCUCAGGCAUCUGAUGCGUCUGGAAAGAUUUAUCGGUCAGGGAUGGACUCGCGGCCUAUCAGCUUGUUGGUGGGGUAACGGCCCACCAAGGCGACGACGGGUAGCCGGCCUGAGAGGGCGACCGGCCACACUGGGACUGAGACACGGCCCAGACUCCUACGGGAGGCAGCAGUGGGGAAUAUUGCACAAUGGGCGCAAGCCUGAUGCAGCGACGCCGCGUGAGGGAUGAAGGCCUUCGGGUUGUAAACCUCUUUCAGCAGGGAAGAAGCGCAAGUGACGGUACCUGCAGAAGAAGCGCCGGCUAACUACGUGCCAGCAGCCGCGGUAAUACGUAGGGCGCAAGCGUUGUCCGGAAUUAUUGGGCGUAAAGAGCUCGUAGGCGGUUUGUCGCGUCUGCUGUGAAAACUCGAGGCUCAACCUCGGGCUUGCAGUGGGUACGGGCAGACUAGAGUGCGGUAGGGGUGACUGGAAUUCCUGGUGUAGCGGUGGAAUGCGCAGAUAUCAGGAGGAACACCGAUGGCGAAGGCAGGUCACUGGGCCGCAACUGACGCUGAGGAGCGAAAGCAUGGGGAGCGAACAGGAUUAGAUACCCUGGUAGUCCAUGCCGUAAACGUUGGGCACUAGGUGUG